GCCGAGGUGGUGAAACUGGCAAACACGUAGGACUUAGAAUCCUAUGCCGUAAGGCUUGUGGGUUCGACUCCCACCCUUGGCACAA
RNAcentral lists this transfer RNA (85 nucleotides) under Candidatus Nealsonbacteria bacterium RIFCSPHIGHO2_01_FULL_43_31. RNAcentral describes it as "tRNA-Leu". It matches the Rfam family "tRNA". From Rfam's summary of the family: Transfer RNA (tRNA) molecules are approximately 80 nucleotides in length. Their secondary structure includes four short double-helical elements and three loops (D, anti-codon, and T loops). The record is from RNAcentral. Lineage: Bacteria; Candidatus Nealsoniibacteriota. RNAcentral also lists the same sequence under 1 other name.